Long non-coding RNA from Cryptomeria japonica (Japanese cedar), 571 nucleotides. RefSeq lists it as uncharacterized. The transcript is spliced from 2 exons. The record is from RefSeq and is a predicted model, not a curated record. Lineage: Eukaryota; Viridiplantae; Streptophyta; Pinopsida; Cupressales; Cupressaceae.
AUUUGCCAUAAAAACUCUAUUUAAAUCACAACAUAUGAAGCAUGCGGAUGGAGAUUCAGAAUUAGUAUAAUCUGUUUUGAUCUUAAGGAGUUUGCAAUCAAGUGUUCCAGUCACUUAACGAAUUGAGAGGAGGCCCCUCUCUUAGGAAAUGAUGGAAACCAGAGACAUCCCUUAUAAAAGCCAGCACCACAUUAUUUUUUUUAGAUUUAAAGCUUCCAUUUCUUGGCAACAAGUUUACCUAUAUAUUGAAAUGUAACACGUUUCAUGUGCUGAGGUGAAACCGUGAAAGUGACUAUCUCAUGCAUGCUAGCACUAUUCUCAAUUCUUGAGAGGUGAACUCCAGGGAAUUUCCUUGGGUCAAUAUUGUUUUCUACAAAAGGGAAUUUGUAAUAUACGUGAUCUUGAGGAUCGGUGUCUAUGACUCUAUACAUUUACAGGCACAGAGGCUUUGAGUUCUCAAGCCUUUGGUUUUGAUGGAUUUUAUAGCUGUGUUCCCAGACAGUAUUGUACAUUGGAGGGAGGCGUUGAAUUAUGAAUAUAUAAUAAAUCUUCUGCACGUUUGAAGGAUAAA